GGAGACGUGGCCGAGUGGCUGAAGGCGCUCCCCUGCUAAGGGAGUAGGCGGGUUGAACCGUCUCGAGGGUUCGAAUCCCUUCGUCUCCGCCA
This 92-nucleotide transfer RNA is filed under the name Paracoccaceae bacterium. RNAcentral's name for it is "Rhodobacteraceae bacterium (sponge metagenome) tRNA-Ser". It matches the Rfam family "tRNA". Rfam says of the family: Transfer RNA (tRNA) molecules are approximately 80 nucleotides in length. Their secondary structure includes four short double-helical elements and three loops (D, anti-codon, and T loops). Lineage: Bacteria; Pseudomonadati; Pseudomonadota; Alphaproteobacteria; Rhodobacterales; Paracoccaceae. The record is from RNAcentral.